Long non-coding RNA from Notolabrus celidotus (New Zealand spotty), 220 nucleotides. RefSeq lists it as uncharacterized. The transcript is spliced from 2 exons. Lineage: Eukaryota; Metazoa; Chordata; Actinopteri; Labriformes; Labridae. The record is from RefSeq and is a predicted model, not a curated record.
CUUUCUCUCCCUCAGUGGUGACUUUGGGGCAUUCUUCAGAUUCCUGUUCUCCGUUCGGUGGCUGCCUUUCUGCUGCAGGUAUCGUCGGCUGUUCCUGCGGAACAUGGAGGGAAAAUGUCCCGUCUCAUCUCCUUUCCUGCAGAAAAACCAGAGCAAACAGAAUUUUACGUGUGACGAUUACACAGGAAUUCCAAUGUUUCAUAAAGAUGAUGUAAAGCUG